This 69-nucleotide transfer RNA is filed under the name Ovis aries (sheep). It matches the Rfam family "tRNA". Rfam says of the family: Transfer RNA (tRNA) molecules are approximately 80 nucleotides in length. Their secondary structure includes four short double-helical elements and three loops (D, anti-codon, and T loops). Lineage: Eukaryota; Metazoa; Chordata; Mammalia; Artiodactyla; Bovidae. The record is from Rfam by way of RNAcentral.
CCUGAUGGCUCAGAUGGUAAAGUGUCUGCCUGCAAUGCAGGAGACCCAAGUUCCAUCCCUGGGUCAGGA